UACGUAGGUGGCAAGCGUUGUCCGGAUUUACUGGGCGUAAAGAGCGCGCAGGCGGUCGUUCAAGUCGCGUGUGAAAGCCCCCGGCUCAACUGGGGAGGGUCACGCGAUACUGAUCGACUCGAAGGCAGGAGAGGGAAGUGGAAUUCCCGGUGUAGUGGUGAAAUGCGUAGAUAUCCGGAGGAACACCGGUGGCGAAGGCGGCUUCCUGGACCGACACUGACGCUGAGGCGCGAAAGCUAGGGGAGCAAACGGG
RNAcentral lists this ribosomal RNA (253 nucleotides) under uncultured bacterium. RNAcentral's name for it is "partial 16S ribosomal RNA". It matches the Rfam family "Bacterial small subunit ribosomal RNA", at positions 524 to 776 of the family's 1533-position model. The record is from RNAcentral.